AGAGUUUGAUCCUGGCUCAGAAUCAACGCUGGCGGCGUGCCUAACACAUGCAAGUCGUGCGCGAAAGCCUCCGCAAGGGGGUGAGUAGAGCGGCAAACGGGUGAGUAACGCGUGGGUGACCUACCCUCGAGUGGGGGAUAACAGUCCGAAAGGAUUGCUAAUACCGCAUGACAUCCUGUCCUUGGACGGAUGGAGAUCAAAGCCGGGGAUCGUAAGACCUGGCGCUUGAGGAGGGGCCCGCGUUCGAUUAGCUAGUUGGUGAGGUAACGGCUCACCAAGGCAACGAUCGAUAGCCGGCCUGAGAGGGCGGACGGCCACACUGGGACUGAGACACGGCCCAGACUCCUACGGGAGGCAGCAGUGGGGAAUUGUUCGCAAUGGGCGCAAGCCUGACGACGCAACGCCGCGUGGAGGAUGAAGAUCUUCGGGUCGUAAACUCCUGUCGACCGGGACGAACUUCAUGCGGGCUAACAUCCCGCAUGAUUGACGGUACCGGUGGAGGAAGCCCCGGCUAACUCCGUGCCAGCCGCCGCGGUAAUAC
RNAcentral lists this ribosomal RNA (541 nucleotides) under uncultured bacterium. RNAcentral describes it as "bacterial SSU rRNA". It matches the Rfam family "Bacterial small subunit ribosomal RNA", at positions 8 to 526 of the family's 1533-position model. The record is from RNAcentral.